This 286-nucleotide unclassified non-coding RNA is filed under the name air metagenome. Its description in RNAcentral is "partial contains small subunit ribosomal RNA, internal transcribed spacer 1, and 5.8S ribosomal RNA". The stretch from base 1 to 46 matches the Rfam family "Eukaryotic small subunit ribosomal RNA", at positions 1786 to 1831 of the family's 1831-position model. The record is from RNAcentral.
AAGUCGUAACAAGGUUUCCGUAGGUGAACCUGCGGAAGGAUCAUUAGUGAAAAACCUGGGCUGCGCUCUUGUGCGCCCAUCUUUAACCUAUUCCUUUAACCCCACACCUGUGUCCUGGUCGGGCGAGGGUUCGGAAGGGUGCUGCCUCUCGGGGCGAUCCCUGCCCGUGCUCUCUCUUGGCCGGACGCAAGCUCUUUUAUCAUUACCAAAAAAACACCAGUCGAUUGUAUGUUCGAAACACUAUAAAAACACAAUAAAACUUUCAACAACGGAUCUCUUGGUUCUC